GAUGAACACUGGCGGCGUGCUUAACACAUGCAAGUCGAACGAUGAAGCCCAGCUUGCUGGGUGGAUUAGUGGCGAACGGGUGAGUAACACGUGAGUAACCUGCCCUUAACUCUGGGAUAAGCCUGGGAAACUGGGUCUAAUACCGGAUAGGAGCGUCCACCGCAUGGUGGGUGUUGGAAAGAUUUAUCGGUUUUGGAUGGACUCGCGGCCUAUCAGCUUGUUGGUGAGGUAAUGGCUCACCAAGGCGACGACGGGUAGCCGGCCUGAGAGGGUGACCGGCCACACUGGGACUGAGACACGGCCCAGACUCCUACGGGAGGCAGCAGUGGGGAAUAUUGCACAAUGGGCGAAAGCCUGAUGCAGCGACGCCGCGUGAGGGAUGACGGCCUUCGGGUUGUAAACCUCUUUCAGUAGGGAAGAAGCGAAAGUGACGGUACCUGCAGAAGAAGCACCGGCUAACUACGUG
This 466-nucleotide ribosomal RNA is filed under the name uncultured bacterium. RNAcentral's name for it is "partial 16S ribosomal RNA". It matches the Rfam family "Bacterial small subunit ribosomal RNA", at positions 28 to 507 of the family's 1533-position model. The record is from RNAcentral.